Molecule: long non-coding RNA, 2479 nt
Organism: Pan troglodytes (chimpanzee)
Lineage: Eukaryota; Metazoa; Chordata; Mammalia; Primates; Hominidae
Exons: 4
Source: RefSeq, a predicted model, not a curated record
CACGAAGGCCGCCAGCGCGAAGAAGGCGGCCAUGAGUCCGUUGCAGGCCCGCCACAGGGCAGGCGCCAUGGCUCGGAGAACGCGGCGCGGGGCGGCCCCUAAGGUAAAAGCCAUGCUCCAAGUCCCCUUCUGACUUCUAGUCACUUCCGUGCUGCCAGCAGAGAGCAUGGGAUUCUUCCUGAGGAGCCUGAGUCUCAGCUUUGCCAGGUCCUUGCUGUGUGACCUUGGAUGAGAAUCCUGAGGCUCAGAGUGUGCAACCUGGCCAAAAACACCCAGCUAACAAGUGCUGAAGAUCAGCGUGGGACUGACUUCUCAUCUCUUUCUACAUCAUUUCCUAGGGAAUGGCAAGGAACCUGAGGAACCAGCGUGAGGAAAACCUGGAUGAUCUGAUGUCUUCCUCACUUUAUCCCUACCUGUCCACGCCUCCAUCCAUCCACCCAUCCAUCACUGAUCAAGCUCUCACUAUGUCUAUAGUGUAGAAGGUGCCACCAAAUGCAAUGGAACCUCUUGUCUCAUGUGUCUACUUGCAUCUUUAAGUUGAUACACGGAAGGCACAGUCCAAGCACAGGAUACUGGAAGCUAUGGAGGUACAGUGGCCUCUGAGCAAACUGAAAACUCUCUAUCACUAAAGGGUUGGACAUACAGGGUAUCUCCUCUGCUCUGCCACCUACCUUGAGGAUGCUUUACAUGUGGCUAAAAGUGGAGGCAGAGAUAUUUGGAUAAAUAAAUGCUAGAGAAUUGGAAAUUCCUAGGACAAGUCAAUUUGGAUAUGUCUAUGUCAUCCUUUUUUUUCUAAGAGACACGUAACUCUGAUCCUUAAGGAGUUAGAGAGUUCCCAUAGCUUAGGGUCUGGAAGCCAUAUUCCUUUUCAUGUAACAUCCUUGAAUAUGCUACUCGUAUACCCUAAAUUUACUCUGUAAUUCUUUUUUUUUUUUAUUUGAGAGGGAGUCUCACUCUGCUGCCUAUCCUGAAGUGCAGUGGUGUGAUCUUCACUCACUGCAACCUCCUCCACCCAGGUUCAAGCGAUUUUCCCACCUCAGGCUCCUGAGUACCUGGGAUUACAGGCACAUGCCACCACACCCGGCUAAUUUUUGUGUUUCUAGUAGAAGCGGGGUUUCACCAUGUUGGCCAGGCUGGUCUCGAACUCCUGACCUCAGGUAACCCACCCGCCUUAGCCUCCCAAAGUGUUGGGAUUUCAGGCAUGAGCCACCAUGCCUGGCCUAUAAUUAUUCUUCACAACAUAUUUCAGCAAUAGGAUUAAUUAUAUGUGUCAUUAAUUAUUCAAUGUUUGUCUGUCUUACUAAAGUGUGAGCUCCGAAAGGACAGGAGCUUACCACAAAUAGCUACAAAUUACCUAUACACAUCCUAGGUACUGUUUUAAGCCCUUCAGAUACAACCUGCUCACCCAGAACUCCCAUUCUGGUUCCAGGAUGGGGACAAAGGGAAUUGCUACCUAACACAGCUGUCAGAAAAAGUCUCUCAAAUCAGGUUGCAUGAAAAUGGAGACUGAAAGCAGUGAAGGACCAUAUUAUGAAGCUCUCUGGGAGGAGGGGCAUUUAAAGAAGAGAAAAUGGAAAGUGCAAAGGUUUUGAGGGCUGGAACAUGUUUGGUAUAUUCAAGGAACAGCAAGAAGACCAAUGCAACUGUUGCAGAAUAAUCCCAUGUGAGAGUGGUGGAAGAUGAAAUCAGAGAGGUAGCAGGUGGCCCUAGCUUUUACUCUGAGUGCGACGGGAAGCUGUUUUUGAGCAAGGGGAGAAAGACAGAAAGAGAGAGAGAGAGACAGAGAGAGAGAGAGAGAGAGAAUUGGGAGGUAUGUGAAUGGGAGGUAUGUGACUCAGGAGUUGGGUUUUGUUCGUUUAAAGUUUGAGAUGUGUAUUAAGAAUCCAGCUGAGAUGUAAAGUUGGGUUGAGGCAUGUGGAAUUCAGGAGAGAGGUCUAGCAGGAGAGAUAAACCUGGGAGCCAUCAGUGUAAAUUGCAUUUAACACCAUGAGCCUGAAUGAGGUCUUAGAGAGGUCUCUAGUGAGGAGGGUAGACCAGGAAAAGAAAGCCGAGGGCUGGGUCUGGGGCCAUUGAUGUUCAGACGUCUGAGAUCUGAGCAGGGACCAGGAGAAACAACCAAGAAGGAGUGGCCAGUGAUGUAGAAGGAGACUCUAGAGAAAAGAGCAUCCUGGAGGCAAAUCAUAAAAGACUUUCAGGAAGAAAGUAGGGACAAAAAUUGUCAAAAGUUUCUGAGAGACUGAGUAAGAUGAAGACCGAGAAUUGAUGAUUGGGCUUUGUAACAUGGAGGUAUUGGAAACCUAGAUAAGGGCUGUUUUGGUGAGGUGAUGGGCAAAAAAGCCCAAAAGGAUUGAGUUCAAGAUGGAAAAAGAGGUCAGAAAUUGGAGACCAUUCUGCAAAGGAGAGCAGAGAAAUGAGUGGGAACUAGAAGUAGGUAAAGGGUCAGCAAAGGGUUUGUGUUUUGCAUUGGAUGGAAAAGGUC